RNAcentral lists this ribosomal RNA (497 nucleotides) under uncultured bacterium. RNAcentral describes it as "partial 16S ribosomal RNA". It matches the Rfam family "Bacterial small subunit ribosomal RNA", at positions 28 to 507 of the family's 1533-position model. The record is from RNAcentral.
GGUGAACGCUGGCGGCGUGCCUAAUACAUGCAAGUCGAGCGAACGGACGAGAAGCUUGCUUCUCUGAUGUUAGCGGCGGACGGGUGAGUAACACGUGGAUAACCUACCUAUAAGACUGGGAUAACUUCGGGAAACCGGAGCUAAUACCGGAUAAUAUUUUGAACCGCAUGGUUCAAAAGUGAAAGAAGGUCUUGCUGUCACUUAUAGAUGGAUCCGCGCUGCAUUAGCUAGUUGGUAAGGUAACGGCUUACCAAGGCAACGAUGCAUAGCCGACCUGAGAGGGUGAUCGGCCACACUGGAACUGAGACACGGUCCAGACUCCUACGGGAGGCAGCAGUAGGGAAUCUUCCGCAAUGGGCGAAAGCCUGACGGAGCAACGCCGCGUGAGUGAUGAAGGUCUUCGGAUCGUAAAACUCUGUUAUUAGGGAAGAACAUAUGUGUAAGUAACUGUGCACAUCUUGACGGUACCUAAUCAGAAAGCCACGGCUAACUACGUG